UCCAGACUCCUACGGGAGGCAGCAGUGAGGAAUAUUGGUCAAUGGGCGGGAGCCUGAACCAGCCAAGUCGCGUGAGGGACGACGGUCCUAUGGAUUGUAAACCUCUUUUGUCGGGGAACAAAGGCGCCCACGGGUGGGCGGAUGAGUGUACCCGAAGAAAAAGCAUCGGCUAACUCCGUGCCAGCAGCCGCGGUAAUACGGAGGAUGCGAGCGUUAUCCGGAUUUAUUGGGUUUAAAGGGUGCGUAGGCGGACAGUCAAGUCAGCGGUAAAAAUGCGGUGCUCAACGCCGUACAGCCGUUGAAACUGGCAGCCUUGAGUGGGCGAGAAGUAUGCGGAAUGCGUGGUGUAGCGGUGAAAUGCAUAGAUAUCACGCAGAACUCCGAUUGCGAAGGCAGCAUACCGGCGCCCGACUGACGCUGAGGCACGAAAGCGUGGGUAUCGAACAGGAUUAGAUACCCCCGUA
Molecule: ribosomal RNA, 464 nt
Filed under: uncultured bacterium
Lineage: Bacteria
Description: bacterial SSU rRNA
Rfam family: Bacterial small subunit ribosomal RNA
Source: RNAcentral